Molecule: transfer RNA, 73 nt
Filed under: Penaeus chinensis
Lineage: Eukaryota; Metazoa; Arthropoda; Malacostraca; Decapoda; Penaeidae
Description: tRNA-Val
Rfam family: tRNA
About the family: Transfer RNA (tRNA) molecules are approximately 80 nucleotides in length. Their secondary structure includes four short double-helical elements and three loops (D, anti-codon, and T loops).
Source: RNAcentral
GCUUUCAUAGUGUAGUGGUUAUCACGUCUGCUUUACACGCAGAAGGUCCCAGGUACGAGCCCUGGUGGGAGCA